UACGAAGGGUCCAAGCGUUAUCCGGAUUUAUUGGGUUUAAAGGGUGCGUAGGCGGCUUUUUAAGUCAGUGGUGAAAGCUCCAUGCUUAACAUGGAAAUUGCCAUUGAUACUGAAGAGCUUGAGUACAUUUGAAGUGGGCGGAGUAUGUCAUGUAGAGGUGAAAUUCUUAGAGAUGACAUGGAACACCGAUUGCGAAGGCAGCUCACUAAACUGUAACUGACGCUGAGGCACGAAAGCGUGGGGAUCACACAGG
Molecule: ribosomal RNA, 253 nt
Filed under: uncultured bacterium
Lineage: Bacteria
Description: partial 16S ribosomal RNA
Rfam family: Bacterial small subunit ribosomal RNA
Source: RNAcentral